This 29-nucleotide non-coding RNA is filed under the name Rattus norvegicus (Norway rat). The record is from RNAcentral. Lineage: Eukaryota; Metazoa; Chordata; Mammalia; Rodentia; Muridae.
UGGGCGACCGCCUCGAACUCAGCAGCCCU